RNAcentral lists this ribosomal RNA (842 nucleotides) under Weissella confusa. RNAcentral describes it as "bacterial SSU rRNA". It matches the Rfam family "Bacterial small subunit ribosomal RNA", at positions 39 to 864 of the family's 1533-position model. The record is from RNAcentral. Lineage: Bacteria; Bacillati; Bacillota; Bacilli; Lactobacillales; Lactobacillaceae.
GAAGGGUGCUACUGAUUUGAGAGCUUGCUCAGAUAUGACGAUGGACAUUGCAAAGAGUGGCGAACGAGGUGAGUAACACGUGGGAAACCUACCUCUUAGCAGGGGAUAACAUUUGGAAACAGAUGCUAAUACCGUAUAACAAUGACAACCGCAUGGUUGUUAUUUAAAAGAUGGUUCUGCUAUCACUAAGAGAUGGUCCCGCGGUGCAUUAGCUAGUUGGUAAGGUAAUGGCUUACCAAGGCGAUGAUGCAUAGCCGAGUUGAGAGACUGAUCGGCCACAAUGGGACUGAGACACGGCCCAUACUCCUACGGGAGGCAGCAGUAGGGAAUCUUCCACAAUGGGCGAAAGCCUGAUGGAGCAACGCCGCGUGUGUGAUGAAGGGUUUCGGCUCGUAAAACACUGUUGUAAGAGAAGAAUGACAUUGAGAGUAACUGUUCAAUGUGUGACGGUAUCUUACCAGAAAGGAACGGCUAAAUACGUGCCAGCAGCCGCGGUAAUACGUAUGUUCCAAGCGUUAUCCGGAUUUAUUGGGCGUAAAGCGAGCGCAGACGGUUAUUUAAGUCUGAAGUGAAAGCCCUCAGCUCAACUGAGGAAUUGCUUUGGAAACUGGAUGACUUGAGUGCAGUAGAGGAAAGUGGAACUCCAUGUGUAGCGGUGAAAUGCGUAGAUAUAUGGAAGAACACCAGUGGCGAAGGCGGCUUUCUGGACUGUAACUGACGUUGAGGCUCGAAAGUGUGGGUAGCAACAGGAUUAGAUACCCUGGUAGUCCACACCGUAAACGAUGAGUGCUAGGUGUUUGAGGGUUUCCGCCCUUAAAGUGCCCGCAGCCUAACGCGAUUAA